RNAcentral lists this ribosomal RNA (1516 nucleotides) under human gut metagenome. RNAcentral describes it as "bacterial LSU rRNA". It matches the Rfam family "Bacterial large subunit ribosomal RNA", at positions 445 to 1975 of the family's 2925-position model. The record is from RNAcentral.
AGCGGGGCCCAUCCCGUAAGGCUAAAUACUCCCGAGAGACCGAUAGCGAACCAGUACUGUGAAGGAAAGGUGAAAAGAACCUCGAACAGAGGAGUGAAACAGACCCUGAAACCAUGCGCCUACAAGCGGUCGGAGCAUGUUAAAAUGUGACGGCGUGCCUUUUGCAUAAUGAACCUACGAGUUACUCUCGCUGGCAAGGUUAAGCGAUUCAGUCGCGCAGCCGAAGCGAAAGCAAGUCCGAACAAGGCGUACAGUCAGCGGGAGUAGACGCGAAACCAAGUGAUCUACCCUUGGUCAGGUUGAAGGUUGGGUAACACCAACUGGAGGACCGCACCGAUAAGCGUUGAAAAGCUUACGGAUGAACUGAGGGUAGGAGUGAAAGGCCAAUCAAACUUGGAGAUAGCUCGUACUCCCCGAAAUGCAUUUAGGUGCAGCCUCGAAGUAAAGUGAUAGAGGUAGAGCGACUGAUAAGAUGCGAGGGCUUCACCGCCUAUCAAGUCUUGACAAACUCCGAAUACUAUCACUUGAUCUUCGGGAGUGAGGGCAUGGGUGCUAAGGUCCAUGUCCGAAAGAGGAACAACUCAGACCACCAGCUAAGGUCCCGAAAUAAGGGCUAAGUUGAAUAAACGAAGUAAAACUGCAAAGACAGCUAGGAUGUUGGCUUGGAAGCAGCCAUUCAUUUAAAGAGUGCGUAACAGCUCACUAGUCGAGGAGUUUUGCAUGGAUAAUAAUCGGGCAUAAGCCCUUUACCGAAGCUGUGGAUGUCGUAAGACAUGGUAGGGGAGCAUUCCGGCGGCGACGAAGGCCGUCCUCGAGGACGACUGGAGCUUUCGGAAAAGCAAAUGUAGGUAUAAGUAACGAUAAAGGGGGCGUGAAACCCCCUCGCCAUAAGACUAAGGAUUCCUGAUCAACGCUAAUCGGAUCAGGGUAAGUCGGGCCCUAAGGCGCAGCCGAACGGCGUAGCCGAUGGAAGAAACGGUAAAGAUUCCGUUACUGGAUAUAGGAGCGAUGUGGAGACGGAGAAGUGACACACCCGCCUGCCGACGGAAGCGCAGGUUAAAGGAAGUAGGUAAACGCCGGGUAGGCAAAUCCGCCUGGCGUGCCGAAGCUGACAGUAUCGAGAGCCCCCGGGCAAUCGAAUAGCGGUGGUAAUCAGGCUCCCAAGAAAAUCCGCUAAGCAUAUUCUAUAUCCACCCGUACCCCAAACGGACACACGUAGUCGGGUAGAAUAUACCAAGGCGCUCGAAAGACUCACGGUUAAGGAACUAGGCAAAUUGACCCUGUAACCUCGGGAAAAAGGGUCCCCAGUAAGAUGGGGCGCAGAGAAUAGGUCCAGGCAACUGUUUAACAAAAACACAGGGCUGUGCAAAAUUUCAAGAUGAAGUAUACAGCCUGACACCUGCCCGGUGCCGGAAGGUUAAGAGGAGAGCUAAUCGCAAGAGAAGGCUUGAAUUGAAGCCCCGGUAAACGGCGGCCGUAACUAUAACGGUCCUAAGGUAGCGAAAUUCCUUGUCGG